Lathyrus oleraceus (garden pea) is the source of this 906-nucleotide long non-coding RNA. RefSeq lists it as uncharacterized. The transcript has 2 exons. The record is from RefSeq and is a predicted model, not a curated record. Lineage: Eukaryota; Viridiplantae; Streptophyta; Magnoliopsida; Fabales; Fabaceae.
ACAAGGUACUAUAGCGAGGGGAUCCACGUUGGAUCCCCAGUUGACUCAUCAGUCAACACUAUGUGGGAACAACAUGGCCAUCCAUUGGCCUUAGUAUGUACACUUGUUAGCAAAUGAAAAAGCAAAGGAAAUGGGAUUAAAACAUGAGACCAAGAGAGAACGGAUUCAUUUGAAACGUUUUACUUUCUCUCUUCUCAAACACUUUGCAACCUUUCUUUUCCAACCCCCCACCUCUGAUCUUCUUGAACCUUCAUCCUUUCCAGAGAAGGGCGGCGGUCGGCGGCAGCGCCUCCGUCCUCUCCGGCAACCUACCACCACCAAAAAAAACCUAAACACUAGUCUAACUUAAAUUAGCCCCUCUUUUCGAAUCUUCCCUUAUUUUCUUUCAAAACCUCACCAAUUGGAGGGAUCGGACCAUCACAACCCUUAAUCAGCCAAAACUCAAAAUAAGCCCUAUUUUACUGUCAAAUCUCUUCAACAUACCAAAAGUCCACCAUCAAUAUUUAAGUAAAAAUGAAAACAGAAACGAGUACGACUCGAAAAAGUUUUAUUCUACACAAAACAAGUUAAUUAGUAUGUGUUAUCAGAGGGAAAAAUUUAGUGUAUAAGACAAAACAACAUUCAACAACUUAUUUUAUCAUGCUUUCAAGUAUGGAUUGAGUUAAAGAAGGAAAAUAUAUCGUCCGAAUGUUACCGGAGAGACGAAUCCCCUAGGUGUUAUAUGGUGAUGCUCAUGAGGGAGGCAAUGCGUGAAUUCAAAAACCCAAUUUACUUGUUAUUAUUAUUUUUUACCUGUACUUAUGGAUGCAAUAUAAAACUUGAGACAAAAAAAAAAUGUAUACAAUUUUUGUACUUCUGUUUAUCAUAAAAAAUGUAAUUAAUUCUAACAAUCAAACUUAUCAAAUA